RNAcentral lists this ribosomal RNA (253 nucleotides) under uncultured bacterium. RNAcentral's name for it is "partial 16S ribosomal RNA". It matches the Rfam family "Bacterial small subunit ribosomal RNA", at positions 524 to 776 of the family's 1533-position model. The record is from RNAcentral.
UACGGGGGGGGCAAGCGUUGUUCGGAAUUACUGGGCGUAAAGGGCUCGUAGGCGGCCAACUAAGUCGGACGUGAAAUCCCCAGGCUUAACUUGGGAACUGCGUCCGAUACUGGAUGGCUUGAAUCCGGGAGAGGGAUGCGGAAUUCCAGGUGUAGCGGUGAAAUGCGUAGAUAUCAAGAGGAACACCAGUGGCGAAGGCGAGUCCCUGGACAACACCUGACACUGAGGCACGAAAGCUAGGGGAGCAAACAGG